GUUUUUCUCGCCGGGUGAGAAGGC
RNAcentral lists this microRNA (24 nucleotides) under Sorghum bicolor (sorghum). Its description in RNAcentral is "sbi-miR6229-3p". Lineage: Eukaryota; Viridiplantae; Streptophyta; Magnoliopsida; Poales; Poaceae. The record is from miRBase by way of RNAcentral.